This is a long non-coding RNA of Frieseomelitta varia, 478 nucleotides long. RefSeq lists it as uncharacterized. The record is from RefSeq and is a predicted model, not a curated record. The transcript is spliced from 3 exons. NCBI's taxonomy places the organism in Eukaryota, Metazoa, Arthropoda, Insecta, Hymenoptera, Apidae.
UUAUUUCCCACGUUUAUGUACGUCGUUCAAUUUGGAAGAGAAAAGAUAAAGUAUAUUAUUAAAGUACAUAGUGCUGUGCACAAAGAAUUGUCAAGAAUAGGCGAAAUGAAAGCGUAAACCUGACCGAAACCUAACCUGUAUCGAACAUUCUAUACUUUGACAUAAUACGUGGAAUACGUUCAUCCGUGCGUAGAGAUGAAUUUUCGCAUCGACAAAGGGCCAAAUCAAUGGAGAUUUCUAACAACAUGCGUAGAACGUGUAAAAGAUUAAUUAACUGGUGCAUAGUACUUGACACUCAUCAAAAGAAAUAUAUGAUAAAAGGAAUGGGCCUCAGGAGUUAACCUCCUAAGCGGGUAAAACAAAAGAUACACGAUGCGUAAAUGCCAUCUGUGAUCACUUCAUCCAAACAGUGAAAUAAUGCUGUAAUAUUUGGAUUAUAGAAGUAACAGAAUAAUAAAUCAAGAAUAUGCAUUCUUUC